Long non-coding RNA from Chenopodium quinoa (quinoa), 570 nucleotides. RefSeq lists it as uncharacterized. Lineage: Eukaryota; Viridiplantae; Streptophyta; Magnoliopsida; Caryophyllales; Amaranthaceae. The transcript has 3 exons. The record is from RefSeq and is a predicted model, not a curated record.
UUACUGAAAACCGGGUGAAUACAAAAGUUUCUUUUUAUACCUCAUUAUUUGCCUUCAGCCACAUUCACAUAUUUCACCUCUUCAAAACUCUGCCCAAGCCCAACCCCAAAUUAAAACCCUUAACCUCUCUUCAUGUUACUGCCGCCACUUCCUCUUCCUUUCUCCAUUAAAUCAAAACACUACAUUUACUCUAAUGAUGGUAAAUAGGGGCUCUUUAUCUCCUGUGCUUGCUCUUUAUCCUCCCAAUUUUCGAAUGUUCAUUAUCGAACCUUAUUCAAGGUCUAAUUCAAUUUUUCGAUUGCAGAAAGAAGCUCAACCUCCUAUGCUAAUAGAUUCAGAAAUUCUGAAAAAUUGUUGUCUAAUUGAUUACCUUACUUCCGAUCAAAAUUGAGUCUUUUUCUCAGAUCUCAUCUUCAGGGUCAUUUCUCUAAGUUUUGCCGAAAUUGUUGUUGUAUUUCAUAUUUGCGUGAUGAUUUCGUCAAACAAAAUUCUCAAACAAAGGAAUUAGAAUUGGCGGAGCUAGAAGGGGACAUGUGGGGACACUUGUCCCCCCAUUUUCAAAAAAAAAAA